AUGGCGCUGAUCGGCAUCGACGACACGGCGGCGGUACUCGAGGAACUGCGCUGCAGGAAGGACAAGGACCCCGAUCAUUUCCACCAGUACGAGGUCGACGCCGCGGGCCAUCUAAAGAUGCUCUUCUGGACCGUCGCCGACCCUCGCUUCAACAGCCACGACCACACCGACGACGUGGUCGUCAUCGACACCGUGUUCCGGACGAACAGGUAUGGCGCGGCCUUCGUCCCCAUCAUCGGCAUGAACCACCACCGCCGCCCCGUGCUCCUCGGCAGCGGCGUCCUCACGGACCAGUCCCCUGACUCCUAUGUCUGGCUGCUGCGAGCCUUCAUGAGGUCUACAUACCAGGUGAGGCCCAAGUCUGUGAUCACCGACGGCGGCGACGCGGUUGUCCACGCCGUCGAGACCGUGCUCCCGCAGUCCAACCACCGGAUCUGCUCGUGCCACUUGGAGCGAGGCAUCCGGGAGCAUCUUGAUGGCUAUUCAGCCAAGGUCGGCUUCAGGUCGCUGAUGUUCGAGGACAAUUGCUCGCCUGUGGAGUUCGAGGAGCGAUGGCACAGUUUCGUGGCCAGACACAGGACGACGAGCAACCAGGAGUGGCUCUGCAAGAUGUACGUGAAGAGGGAGCUCUGGACUGCCGCCUUCGUCGGUGACAAGUUCUUCCUCGGCAUGGUGACAGACCAGAGCACGGAGUGCUUCUGCCUAUCUUCAGGCCUGCGCACGAGCUUCUCCGAGGACAUGACGCUGCUCGCCCUGCUCCGGCGCGCGGACUUCAGGUGCAAGUACAUGCGCACGCAGGAGGCCGAGCUCGACAACGAGGCUGACAAGUCCCGCGUUGCACUGACGACCGAGCACGAAUGCCUGGAGAAAGACUUUGCGCGGUCCUUCACGCCGGCCAACUUCGCCAUCGUGCUGGAGGAGAUCGAGGCGCUGGACGACUUUGAGAUCAUCGACACCCUGAGCAGCAGCUCCGACGGCUCGGGCGACAAGGUCUACACGCUGGAUCUCCACGGCGAGCUCUAUAACGUGUUGCAGUCCGACGGCGGUGACGACCAGGACGACGUCUUCAAGUGCAGCUGCCGGAAGAUGGAGCGCGACGGCUUGCCAUGCCGGCACAUCCUCCACGUGCUGCAGCACGAAAAGGCGUCCUCCAUACCGAAGUGCUGCAAGCUGGGAUGGCUGCUGCGGCGGGGUGACACAAGGCACGAGAGGCUCGGCGAGAUGGAGGCGCUGGGGCGGAAGGUGUUCGACCUGGCGUCGCAGGACGCCGAGGAGUUUGAGGAGAUCAAGGGGUUCUUGCAGGACUGGCUGCAGCAGCGAAACUACUCUGCACGCGACAUUGCAGACAUGAUUUUGAGCCAUACCGUCUUUGGAGGGUGCUGA
RNAcentral lists this ribosomal RNA (1383 nucleotides) under Triticum aestivum (bread wheat). RNAcentral's name for it is "partial small subunit ribosomal RNA". The record is from RNAcentral. Lineage: Eukaryota; Viridiplantae; Streptophyta; Magnoliopsida; Poales; Poaceae.